RNAcentral lists this ribosomal RNA (253 nucleotides) under uncultured bacterium. RNAcentral describes it as "partial 16S ribosomal RNA". It matches the Rfam family "Bacterial small subunit ribosomal RNA", at positions 524 to 776 of the family's 1533-position model. The record is from RNAcentral.
UACAGAGGUGGCAAGCGUUGUUCGGAAUUACUGGGCGUAAAGGGCGCGUAGGCGGCCCGUCAAGUCCCGUGUGAAAGCCCCCGGCUCAACCGGGGAACGGCGCGGGAAACUAGCAGGCUUGAGUUCGGGAGAGGGAAGCGGAAUUCCGGGUGUAGCGGUGAAAUGCGCAGAUACCCGGAGGAACACCGGUGGCGAAGGCGGCUUCCUGGACCGACACUGACGCUGAGGCGCGAAAGCUAGGGGAGCAAACGGG